Molecule: ribosomal RNA, 314 nt
Filed under: uncultured bacterium
Lineage: Bacteria
Description: bacterial SSU rRNA
Rfam family: Bacterial small subunit ribosomal RNA
Source: RNAcentral
AAUGAACGCUGGCGGCGUGCCUAACACAUGCAAGUCGAACGAGAAAGGUAGCAAUACUGAGUACAGUGGCGCACGGGUGAGUAAUACACAGGAAUCUGCCUCUGAGUGGAGAAUAUCACCGAGAAAUCGGUGUUAAUACUGCAUAAGCUCGAAAGAGGAAAGGUGGCCUAUAAGCUACCGCUGAGAGAUGAGCCUGUGUCCUAUUAGCUAGUUGGUAGAGUAAAAGCCUACCAAGGCGAAGAUGGGUAGCCGGCCUGAGAGGGUGUCCGGCCACACUGGAACUGAAACACGGUCCAGACUCCUACGGGAGGCAG